RNAcentral lists this long non-coding RNA (508 nucleotides) under Trifolium pratense (red clover). RNAcentral's name for it is "long non-coding RNA (TPRA_LNC007576)". The record is from RNAcentral. Lineage: Eukaryota; Viridiplantae; Streptophyta; Magnoliopsida; Fabales; Fabaceae.
ACCUUAGGCGCUUUCCUUCCAAGCAUACACUAGCCUAAAUUCGCAGCUACCGCAUCUCUCGUUCUAGAGUCCGUUUUGACAAUCCAACUGAGAACCAUAUGCCACGAUUGAUUUAGGGGAUAAUAAGGCCAAGAACAUAGCUUGAUUAUUACUUGAAUACUAGAGGAGAGUACAAGUAAUAGCAAGGGUGUAAGACUUUGUUUGUGGAGGCUAGGUUGGUUUUAUGAUGUUGUCAGACGUGUACCGAGUUGUGAAAGGAAGGGUAGUCCUAUAUAUUGAGGUGUAGAAUGAACUGAUUUUUCAUCGGACCAAAAGAAGUAAUAAAGAAGAAUUCUUUGCAUAUAAUUAAUCAUUAAUUGAGGUAAUGACAGCAAUCAAGCUGUUAAUUACUCAUUCACCGAGAAUGGAAUGGAAUCAAUACAAAUUUAUGGCCAUAGAAGGAAAAUGGUUAUGGACAUUCAUUGGCUAUUAUGGGUAUUUAAUGAGAUUGAAAGGAAGAUGAUGUGAU